This 231-nucleotide ribosomal RNA is filed under the name Triticum aestivum (bread wheat). RNAcentral describes it as "partial small subunit ribosomal RNA". Lineage: Eukaryota; Viridiplantae; Streptophyta; Magnoliopsida; Poales; Poaceae. The record is from RNAcentral.
AUGACAAGGCCAAAGUUUUGUGGAGGGCUAGGAUUUCGUGAUAUAGAACUUUUCAAUCUAGCUCUCCUUGCAAGGCAGGCAUGGCGGGUGUUGAUGGAUUCAGAUUCUUUGAGUGCUCGAGUGUUGAAAGCAAAAUAUCAUAGUACUACUGAGUUCUUGAAUGCAGAGUUGGGUACGGCUCCAUCUCAGAUUUGGAGAUCCAUACUAGAAGGCCGCGAUGUCCUUGUUUAA